RNAcentral lists this long non-coding RNA (312 nucleotides) under Phoenix dactylifera (date palm). RNAcentral's name for it is "long non-coding RNA (PDAC_LNC018539)". The record is from RNAcentral. Lineage: Eukaryota; Viridiplantae; Streptophyta; Magnoliopsida; Arecales; Arecaceae.
CAGGUAGCCGCGGUAGUAGGAUUGGAUGCGCACCGCCGCCUUCUCCUCCCUAGAUAGCCGCGCGUACCCUGCCAGCCUCACCACCUGCGCCGCCGCCUCUGCGGCCGCCGCCGCAGCAUCGGCCGCCGCUGCCGUCGCCGCCGCGACUGCGAUCGCUUGCUUCCUGUCCUCCUCCUCCUCCACCGCCGCCCCCGGCGACCCGUCGUCGUCGUUCGUGGCCUCCGGCGACGUCUCCGCCGGGAAAUGCUCCACCGACACAAUCUCCAGUGCCUCAUUCCCCUCCAACUCCAGCUCCCUCUCCCUCUGCCUCUG